Long non-coding RNA from Sapajus apella (tufted capuchin), 707 nucleotides. RefSeq lists it as uncharacterized. The record is from RefSeq and is a predicted model, not a curated record. The transcript has 2 exons. Lineage: Eukaryota; Metazoa; Chordata; Mammalia; Primates; Cebidae.
CUGUGCUGGAAUUUUUUUUUUUUUUUUUAAGUGCUGCAAGUGACUCCAGAGUUGGGAGUCUGCCCUGGAAGUUGAUCCGGGUCAGGAGUGAGUGGCAAGAAGGGAGACAGUUGGGGCUGGUGAUUGGAGUAAACAAAGUGUUCUGUGUUUGCCCCAGGCUCCAGGCAUGCCACAGCCAGGUGCAGAUGUAGAGCACCCAAACCAGCUCCACAACCCUGCCACAGCUCCCCCAUGCCCUUCACUCAAAGCCUGUUAUUCCUAUGCACCUGCCUCCCCAUUCAGAGGCCUGACUAACCUUUCCCCAAGGAGACCUGUCAGGUGUGGAUAACCUUCCCUUCCUGCUGAAGUGGAAGUCCCCUGAGACUGAGAGAGGAGAGUUUGGACAAAUGUUCACCGCUCUGUCUGAUUCACACGCAUCUUCUUCCAGGGCACUUUUUUUGGGAGCUAAAACCCUUCAGCCCCUGGACCGUCACCCUCUUUUCUCAGAGAAAGCCCUCCUCCCAGGCCUGCCCUUUCAUCAAGACUCAGCCUAAGAAGAUAUCAGAGGUCUUAGAGCCCGGAUCCACUUUCCCAAAUCCCCAGGCACCCAGAGGCAAGCAGGGCAGAGACAGAUGUCUUCGCUGAAGGCCCUGUAAAGCCCAAGGGCACAAGGGAUUUGCCCUGGCCUGAGGGGGUUCCCAGUACAAAGGACUUUCAACUUUAAAAAA